GACGAACGCUGGCGGCGUGCCUAAUACAUGCAAGUCGAACGGAAAGGCCCUGCUCUUGUGGGGUGCUCGAGUGGCGAACGGGUGAGUAACACGUGAGUAACAUGCACUUGAAAUUGGGAUAAAACUAGGGAACAGGGGCGCAUAUCGGGUAGGAGCUCCUGAUGCACGGGGGGGGAUGGUAAGAUUCGGCGGUUGGGGAUGGACUCGCGGCUUAUCAGCUUGUUGGUCGGGUAGUGGCUUACCAAGGCUUUGACGGGUAGCCGGCCUGAGAGGGUGACCGGCCACAUUGGGACUGAGAGACGGCCCAGACGCCUACGGGAGGCAGCAGUGGAGAAUAUUGCACAAUGGGCGGAAGCCUGAUACAGCAACGCCGCGUGCGGGAUGCCGGCCUUCGGGUUGUAAACCGCUUUCGCCUGUAACGAAGCGUGAGUGACGGUAAUGGGUAAAGAAGCACCGGCUAACUACGUG
RNAcentral lists this ribosomal RNA (468 nucleotides) under uncultured bacterium. RNAcentral's name for it is "partial 16S ribosomal RNA". It matches the Rfam family "Bacterial small subunit ribosomal RNA", at positions 28 to 507 of the family's 1533-position model. The record is from RNAcentral.